This 253-nucleotide ribosomal RNA is filed under the name uncultured bacterium. RNAcentral describes it as "partial 16S ribosomal RNA". It matches the Rfam family "Bacterial small subunit ribosomal RNA", at positions 524 to 776 of the family's 1533-position model. The record is from RNAcentral.
UACGUAGGUGGCAAGCGUUGUCCGGAUUUAUUGGGCGUAAAGCGCGCGCAGGCGGUUUCUUAAGUCUGAUGUGAAAGCCCCCGGCUUAACCGGGGAGGGUCAUUGGAAACUGGGAGACUUGAGUGCAGAAGAGGAAAGUGGAAUUCCAAGUGUAGCGGUGAAAUGCGUAGAGAUUUGGAGGAACACCAGUGGCGAAGGCGACUUUCUGGUCUGUAACUGACGCUGAGGCGCGAAAGCGUGGGGAGCAAACAGG